RNAcentral lists this ribosomal RNA (721 nucleotides) under uncultured Enterobacterales bacterium. Its description in RNAcentral is "bacterial SSU rRNA". It matches the Rfam family "Bacterial small subunit ribosomal RNA", at positions 62 to 772 of the family's 1533-position model. Lineage: Bacteria; Pseudomonadati; Pseudomonadota; Gammaproteobacteria; Enterobacterales. The record is from RNAcentral.
UCGAACGGUAACAGGAAGCAGCUUGCUGCUUCGCUGACGAGUGGCGGACGGGUGAGUAAUGUCUGGGAAACUGCCUGAUGGAGGGGGAUAACUACUGGAAACGGUAGCUAAUACCGCAUAACGUCGCAAGACCAAAGAGGGGGACCUUCGGGCCUCUUGCCAUCGGAUGUGCCCAGAUGGGAUUAGCUAGUAGGUGGGGUAACGGCUCACCUAGGCGACGAUCCCUAGCUGGUCUGAGAGGAUGACCAGCCACACUGGAACUGAGACACGGUCCAGACUCCUACGGGAGGCAGCAGUGGGGAAUAUUGCACAAUGGGCGCAAGCCUGAUGCAGCCAUGCCGCGUGUAUGAAGAAGGCCUUCGGGUUGUAAAGUACUUUCAGCGGGGAGGAAGGCGACAGGGUUAAUAACCCUGUCGAUUGACGUUACCCGCAGAAGAAGCACCGGCUAACUCCGUGCCAGCAGCCGCGGUAAUACGGAGGGUGCAAGCGUUAAUCGGAAUUACUGGGCGUAAAGCGCACGCAGGCGGUCUGUCAAGUCGGAUGUGAAAUCCCCGGGCUCAACCUGGGAACUGCAUUCGAAACUGGCAGGCUAGAGUCUUGUAGAGGGGGGUAGAAUUCCAGGUGUAGCGGUGAAAUGCGUAGAGAUCUGGAGGAAUACCGGUGGCGAAGGCGGCCCCCUGGACAAAGACUGACGCUCAGGUGCGAAAGCGUGGGGAGCAAA